CAUAUAUAAGAUACAUGCCCAUUGCCCAUCCAUGCCGAGGCCUUUCAGUCUCAUGCAUGCACGCAGAUGCACCGAGAUGCAGCGCUCCAACUCCAAGCUAGCAACCAUGGAUCGAAGAAGGCCAGUGUCGGUGUGGUCCUCUCAUCUAGCUCGUCAGUUGAAGUCCUUGGUUAUGGCGGGGAUGCAGCUGGAGCUCCUGGCGAGCGCGGCGGCGGCGGCGGGGCGGGCGCCGCGGUCCCGGACCCGGGGGCUGUCGCACCUGGCGCCCCGCUUCCUGAGGAUCUGCCGCAUGGCCUCCGUCUGCAGGAGCACGGGGUUGGCGCGACCCAAGCGGUUGAACCGCCCGCACACGGCCAUGUGCGCCGCGAG
This 369-nucleotide unclassified non-coding RNA is filed under the name Zea mays. RNAcentral describes it as "misc RNA Zm00001eb284780". The record is from RNAcentral. Lineage: Eukaryota; Viridiplantae; Streptophyta; Magnoliopsida; Poales; Poaceae.